AACGAACGCUGGCGGCAGGCCUAACACAUGCAAGUCGAACGCCCUGGCAACAGGGAGUGGCAGACGGGUGAGUAACGCGUGGGAACGUGCCCUUCGGUUCGGAAUAGCUCAGGGAAACUUGAGCUAAUACCGAAUACGUGCGAGAGCAGAAAGAUUUAUCGCCGAAGGAUCGGCCCGCGUCCGAUUAGCUGGUUGGUGAGGUAAUGGCUCACCAAGGCGACGAUCGGUAGCUGGUCUGAGAGGAUGAUCAGCCACACUGGGACUGAGACACGGCCCAGACUCCUACGGGAGGCAGCAGUGGGGAAUAUUGGACAAUGGGCGCAAGCCUGAUCCAGCCAUGCCGCGUGAGUGAUGAAGGCCCUAGGGUUGUAAAGCUCUUUCGCCAGGGACGAUAAUGACGGUACCUGGAUAAGAAGCCCCGGCUAACUUCGUGCCAGCCGCCGCAGUAA
Molecule: ribosomal RNA, 449 nt
Filed under: uncultured bacterium
Lineage: Bacteria
Description: partial 16S ribosomal RNA
Rfam family: Bacterial small subunit ribosomal RNA
Source: RNAcentral